UGGGGAAUAUUGCACAAUGGGCGCAAGCCUGAUGCAGCCAUGCCGCGUGUGUGAAGAAGGCCUUCGGGUUGUAAAGCACUUUCAGCGAGGAGGAAGGUGGUGAGCUUAAUACGCUCAUCAAUUGACGUUACUCGCAGAAGAAGCACCGGCUAACUCCGUGCCAGCAGCCGCGGUAAUACGGAGGGUGCAAGCGUUAAUCGGAAUUACUGGGCGUAAAGCGCACGCAGGCGGUUUGUUAAGUCAGAUGUGAAAUCCCCGGGCUCAACCUGGGAACUGCAUUUGAAACUGGCAAGCUAGAGUCUCGUAGAGGGGGGUAGAAUUCCAGGUGUAGCGGUGAAAUGCGUAGAGAUCUGGAGGAAUACCGGUGGCGAAGGCGGCCCCCCUGGACGAAGACUGACGCUCAGGUGCGAAAGCGUGGGGCAGCAAACAGGAUUAGAUACCCUGGUAGUCCACGCUGUAAACGAUGUCGAUUUUGGAGGUUGUGCCCUUGAGGCGUGGCUUCCGGAGCUAACGCGUUAAAUCGACCGCCUGGGGAGUACGGCCGCAAGGUUAAAACUCAAAGGAAUUG
RNAcentral lists this ribosomal RNA (568 nucleotides) under uncultured bacterium. RNAcentral describes it as "partial 16S ribosomal RNA". It matches the Rfam family "Bacterial small subunit ribosomal RNA", at positions 355 to 912 of the family's 1533-position model. The record is from RNAcentral.